This 205-nucleotide unclassified non-coding RNA is filed under the name Hevea brasiliensis (rubber tree). The record is from RNAcentral. Lineage: Eukaryota; Viridiplantae; Streptophyta; Magnoliopsida; Malpighiales; Euphorbiaceae.
CAUCUCCAAACAUACCUAAAAACUGAAAUAUUUGAAAGAAUGAGAAAUACAACUGCACAUCCAACCCUUUCUAAAUCAAGACCCAAUACCAACCUCCAAACUGUUAUAAGUAAGCAGUAGAGCAGUUAGGAGGUUAGUCCAAUAGUUAGAUAGGAAGAUUCUAUUGUACUAGUAUAUUGUAAUUACUCUUCAGUCAAUUGUAAUC